This 254-nucleotide ribosomal RNA is filed under the name uncultured prokaryote. RNAcentral describes it as "partial 16S ribosomal RNA". It matches the Rfam family "Bacterial small subunit ribosomal RNA", at positions 524 to 777 of the family's 1533-position model. The record is from RNAcentral.
UACGGAGGAUGCAAGCGUUAUCCGGAUUUAUUGGGUUUAAAGGGUGCGCAGGUUGUUUGAUAAGUCAGUGGUGAAAGUCUGUCGCUUAACGGUAGGAUUGCCAUUGAUACUGUUGGACUUGAAUAUGGAUGAGGUAGGCGGAAUGUGUAGUGUAGCGGUGAAAUGCAUAGAUAUUACACAGAACACCGAUUCCGAAGGCAGCUUACUAAUCCAUCAUUGACGCUGAGGCACGAAAGCGUGGGGAUCAAACAGGA